UUUUACUUUGUUUGCAUCAAU
RNAcentral lists this non-coding RNA (21 nucleotides) under Caenorhabditis elegans. The record is from RNAcentral. Lineage: Eukaryota; Metazoa; Nematoda; Chromadorea; Rhabditida; Rhabditidae.